RNAcentral lists this ribosomal RNA (256 nucleotides) under uncultured prokaryote. Its description in RNAcentral is "partial 16S ribosomal RNA". It matches the Rfam family "Bacterial small subunit ribosomal RNA", at positions 522 to 777 of the family's 1533-position model. The record is from RNAcentral.
AAUACGGAGGGUGCGAGCGUUGUCCGGAAUUACUGGGCGUAAAGCGUGCGCAGGCGGUGAUGUAAGACAGUUGUGAAAUCCCCGGGCUCAACCUGGGAACUGCAACUGUGACUGCAUCGCUGGAGUGCGGCAGAGGGGGAUGGAAUUCCGCGUGUAGCAGUGAAAUGCGUAGAUAUGCGGAGGAACACCGAUGGCGAAGGCAAUCCCCCGGGCCUGCACUGACGCUCAUGCACGAAAGCGUGGGGAGCAAACAGGA